RNAcentral lists this ribosomal RNA (253 nucleotides) under uncultured bacterium. RNAcentral's name for it is "partial 16S ribosomal RNA". It matches the Rfam family "Bacterial small subunit ribosomal RNA", at positions 524 to 776 of the family's 1533-position model. The record is from RNAcentral.
UACGGAGGGUGCAAGCGUUAUCCGGAUUCACUGGGUUUAAAGGGUGCGUAGGUGGCUUGGUAAGUCAGUGGUGAAAGCCCGGAGCUCAACUCCGGAACUGCCAUUGAUACUGCUUAGCUUGAAUCACGUCGAGGUGGAUGGAAUAUUACAUGUAGCGGUGAAAUGCUUAGAUAUGUAAUAGAACACCGAUUGCGAAGGCAGUUCACUAGGCGUGUAUUGACACUGAGGCUCGAAAGCGUGGGGAUCAAACAGG